Molecule: long non-coding RNA, 2788 nt
Organism: Physella acuta
Lineage: Eukaryota; Metazoa; Mollusca; Gastropoda; Physidae
Source: RefSeq, a predicted model, not a curated record
UGCUUGUUAAACUUAAUAUAUGUUAACUAAAAUUAAUUUAUCUUUUAAUAUCAUGCUCUAAUGUAAACAUAGCAUCAAUAACAGACUACGUUGCAUGUGUUAAACAUUUUGUUAAUCUUUUUAAAAUUGUGUGCGCUACUGCCACCGGCCCCCUGUCGCCCAUUGUCCCUUUGUUCACAUUCCUUCCUAUUGUUCGCAAGCCAGCAUCCCGGUGCUUCGCCAUUUUUCUUAACAAAAGACUUUGUAUCCAGUCACAGUAAAACAGCUCCCUAUGGGAGAAUAAGAUGUCAUCAUCAUCACUCCUUUGUGGCCCCUGGGGAGCAAAGGGCUGCAACCACACAUCUCCAGCGGACUUGGUUUUGGGCUGCUCCUCUAAUCUGUGCUCAUGAGAGCUCAGCUGUUUUUGCCUCCUCCUCAACCGUUCUCUUCCAUGUUUUUCUUGGCCGGCCCACCCUCCUUUUUCCCUGGGGAUUCCAGUCUAAUGCAUGUUUUGAUGAAUAAGAUGUAAGUUGUGUAAAUAGUAGUGUGGAGACCUCAGAGCAACACUUAAUUUCAUGACCAACAGCGAUAAGAUGGUACUAUUAGUAAGCCAUACUUAAUGAUCAACACUACUCAUAUUAUCAUAUAGAGGACAGAGUAGGCAAAUGGUUGAGGACACUAUUGCUAAACAUAAAGCCAAGCCUCCAGGUGUUGUGUAUAUCAAUCAGCCCACUGGAGAUAUAUCAAUCUUUUAAUAAAUUAUAAGGUCCCCACUGCUUGAUACUUCACCAAAUACUGGCUACACCAGAAAAUGACUAAAUGUUCUUAACACUUAACAACUACCACAAGCAUUACUUCUGGGUCACUCUGAAGGGUCUAAUCGUUCAAUUACUGAAUUGAUAAAGUUGAUGAAAUUGCUCAAAAGUUUUCUGGCACCUUCUUAACUCAGAGACAUAGGAAUGUGGAUGGAUUAUGACAUACCUUGCACAAAUCAACAACCAGGCUUUUAUUGGAUUUGAAUCCCAAAGGAAAGAGAAAGUUUGUUAUCCAAAACAAACAUGGAAAAUAUCAGAAACCAACAAAACACAAGCAGGCAGAGUGUUAUGGACCCAACUUUGGGGAAUCUCCUAAAACCAAGUAUAAAAAUAGAGGUGUGGUUGUGUCUCUAAGCUCCACAAGGGUCCACAAGAAUGAGGACAACAGUAAUUUUCGUAAUAAUUUUAGAUCAGAUUUUUAAAAAAAAAUUUGAUCAGAUGGAUCAGGUUAACAGUUUAAUACAUAUUGCAUUUAAGUGCUUAACGAAAAGAAAAGAUGCUCUUACCAAAAUAGUCUAAGAACAAUGCUGAUUUUAAAUUAAUAAAUUGUUUCCUUUUGUAAUAAUAUAAUAAUUUAAGUUGGCAUUGUAUGUAUGUUUAGUGUAGAUUUAAUGCCCUAAAUGAAAUAUACAAUUGACAUUUUUUUCUUUAAAGAAUUAGUUGCAAAUUUCUUUCAUUAUUUAGUUUCACUGUACAAUCUGAAAAAAGCUUGCAACAUUUGUAUUGACAAUACUUCUGCUGGUGAUAUUUAUUUCUAAUUAAUGAAGUAAAUUAAUAUAUAUUCAGUUUACUAUAAUUAAAUACCUCACUCGAGACAAAAAAACAUUUAUUGAAUAUCGCAGUGAUAUUCCUGUUCUACACAAUGCGUAUAAACCCUCGAACCAUCUGUCUUUUGAAAGAUUGUACAUUUUGUAUAGACAAUGGCAUUCAUUUCAACACUAUUUAACCACAAUUAUAAUCUAGAGAUCCUGAACAUAUUUUCGUUCUGUUAUUUAUGGACAAGGCAGACUGGUCCAGCAUUAAAAUGUAAACCUUAAUUAGAAUACUUAAACGAGCUAUGCAAUUAAAUGUUGUUAGACAAAUAUUUUAUACUUUUUAUUUUUAAUGUUAUGUUUACGUAUCAUAGUACAAGACAGCUUCUGUAUUCUUGUACAGUAAAUUAAGUUUUUACAUUAGUUUAAUUUAAACUGUAGUGCUUAACAUCUGUUACAUUAUAUGAAAAUGUUUUGUAUAUUUGUUUUAAUUUGUUUGUAUAAAAGUCAAAAUGAAAGUUACUACACUAUUAUUUACAUAUUCUUUUUCAAUCAAUACUUUAUAGUAUAGUUAUAAUUUUCUUACAAUUGAAUGGAUGGUAUAAUACAGAUUUUAAUGGAUGAGCAGUUUUUGUGUAUGUAUUGCUGCUUUACUACAUUUUGAUUAAAAUUUCUUUCACAUUUUGAAAUUACCUUUGUAAAUAUUAUGACUGAUAUGAGAAUGGAUCUUUUUGUAUGCUAAAAAUAAAAAUUUGAGCCAAGAUGUAGCCAGGAUAUAAUACAGGCUGAGCCAAGGUAUAGCCGAGAUAUAGCCAUUAUUGGGCCAAGAUGUAGCCAGGAUAUAAUACAGGAUGAGCCAAGGUAUAGCCAAUAUUGGGCCAAGAUAUAGCCAUUAUUGAGCCAAGAUGUAGCCAAUAUUGGGCCAAGAUGUAACCAUGAUAUAGACAAUAUUGGGCCAAGAUAUAGCCAAUAUUGAGCCAAGAUGUAGCCAAUAUUGGGCCAAUAUGUAGCCGGGAUAUAGCCAAUGUUGGGCCAAUAUGUAGCCGGGAUAUAGCCAAUAUUUGGCCAAGAUCUAGCCAAUGUUGGGCCAAUAUGUAGCCGGGAUAUAGCCAAUAUUGUGCCAACAUUGCGCCAACAUCAUGCCGAGUUUCACUACCAAUGUUUCGCCAAGGUUAAGCCAAUGUUGCACCAAGAUGUAGCCAAUAUUGGUAACCAAUGUUUAGCCAAUAUUGGGCCAAUAUA